UAGUAUAAUUUAUUUUUUUUCUUGCGGUCCGAAGUCAUAUUUUACGCUUUUCUGCAAUCUGAUUGGCUACGUGAGCGGUCCGUAUGAACCCGUACGGACCGCGCGAGAUUUAAAGCCAUAGAGCCAAUGUUUUUAUUUUUCAAAAUUUAAAGACGAGUUUAAAGGCUACUUUUUAAAACAUUAAAAUGUCUGCAGACGAUGAAAAACACAGUGAAAACGAAUUUUACUAUCUCACAAAAGAUAUUUCUCUUCCCGAUAGCAUUGAUAGAAACGACGUUUUAUUUGGCAGCUUCAUUCGCGUGCGGGAGGAG
Non-coding RNA from Paramuricea clavata, 311 nucleotides. NCBI's taxonomy places the organism in Eukaryota, Metazoa, Cnidaria, Anthozoa, Malacalcyonacea, Plexauridae. The record is from the annotation of a GenBank genome assembly.